Molecule: ribosomal RNA, 464 nt
Filed under: Vreelandella stevensii
Lineage: Bacteria; Pseudomonadati; Pseudomonadota; Gammaproteobacteria; Oceanospirillales; Halomonadaceae
Description: partial 16S ribosomal RNA
Rfam family: Bacterial small subunit ribosomal RNA
Source: RNAcentral
CCUACGGGAGGCUGCAGUGGGGAAUAUUGGACAAUGGGGGGAACCCUGAUCCAGCAUGCCGCGUGUGUGAAGAAGGCCCUCGGGUUGUAAAGCACUUUCAGUGAGGAAGAACGCCUGGUGGUUAAUACCCAUCAGGAAAGACAUCACUCACAGAAGAAGCACCGGCUAACUCCGUGCCAGCAGCCGCGGUAAUACGGAGGGUGCGAGCGUUAAUCGGAAUUACUGGGCGUAAAGCGCGCGUAGGUGGCUUGAUAAGCCGGUUGUGAAAGCCCCGGGCUCAACCUGGGAACGGCAUCCGGAACUGUCAAGCUAGAGUGCAGGAGAGGAAGGUAGAAUUCCCGGUGUAGCGGUGAAAUGCGUAGAGAUCGGGAGGAAUACCAGUGGCGAAGGCGGCCUUCUGGACUGACACUGACACUGAGGUGCGAAAGCGUGGGUAGCAAACAGGAUUAGAUACCCCAGUAGUC